GACGAACGCUGGCGGCGUGCUUAACACAUGCAAGUCGAACGGAAAGGCCCUGCUUUUGUGGGGUGCUCGAGUGGCGAACGGGUGAGUAACACGUGAGUAACCUGCCCUUGACUUUGGGAUAACUUCAGGAAACUGGGGCUAAUACCGGAUAGGAGCUCCUGCUGCAUGGUGGGGGUUGGAAAGUUUCGGCGGAUGGGGAUGGACUCGCGGGUUAUCAGCUUGUUGGUGGGGUAGUUGCUUACCAAGGCUUUGACGGGUAGCCGGCCUGAGAGGGUGAACGGCCACAUUGGGACUGAGAUACGGCGCAGACUCCUACGGGAGGCAGCAGUGGGAAGUAUUGUCCAAUGGGCGGAAGCCUGAUGCAGAAACGCCGCGUGCGGGAUGACGGCCUUCGGGUUGUAAACCGCUUUCGCCCGUGACGAAGCGUGAGUGACGGUAAUGGGUAAAGAAGCACCGGCUAACUACGUG
Molecule: ribosomal RNA, 468 nt
Filed under: uncultured bacterium
Lineage: Bacteria
Description: partial 16S ribosomal RNA
Rfam family: Bacterial small subunit ribosomal RNA
Source: RNAcentral